This is a long non-coding RNA of Polistes dominula (European paper wasp), 434 nucleotides long. NCBI's taxonomy places the organism in Eukaryota, Metazoa, Arthropoda, Insecta, Hymenoptera, Vespidae. The record is from RefSeq and is a predicted model, not a curated record.
GUUAACAUGAAAUAAUGUACAUUAGAAUUUCAUUUGCAUACAUUUUUCUUGUCAAAUCGUCUUUAUCUUCAAUAAUGAUUUUUAUAAUUUAUAUAAAUUAUUUCCAUAAUAUUUACGUUUCAUUUUUUAAUACGUUUUAAUUAACCAAUAACAGUUGUCCAUUUGGUGUAGUAAUACUAUACCACGAAAGAACUACUUUAGGUUCGACAAUCAUCAACAAGGUCAUGACAGAAGGCGGGUGGUUUGUCAAAAUAAGAUCAUUACGAUCAUGGAUCCAGCCCUCAGCCUGUAAUCAAUACCGGAAUCUAACGUUUCAACUAAGCAGUGGUCUUUUAAGACUUUAAUAAAAGCAGCUGCUACUGGUGGUAUCGGAUCAAAUGGUUGAAGUUUAGUACUAUUGGUAUCUCUCACUAUAGUCUUCUUAACCUCGUGAA